AGCAGCCGCGGUAAUUCCAGCUCCAAUAGCGUAUAUUAAAGUUGUUGCAGUUAAAAAGCUCGUAGUUGAAUUUCGGGAUCAAUUAAUUGGUCGUGCCUCUGGUACGUACUGAUUUUAUUGGUUUCUCCCUUCUGACGAACCAUGAUGUCAUUAAUUUGGUGUCGUGGAGAAUCAGGACUGUUACUUUGAAAAAUUAGAGUGUUUAAAGCAAGCUAACGCUUGAAUACAUUAGCAUGGAAUAAUGAAAUAGGACGUUUGAUCCUAUUUUGUUGGUUUCUAGGAUCGACGUAAUGAUUAAUAGGGAUAGUUGGGGGCAUUAGUAUUCAAUUGUCAGAGGUGAAAUUCUUGGAUUUAUUGAAGACUAACUACUGCGAAAGCAUUUGCCAAGGAUGUUUUCAUUAAUCAAGAACGAAAGUUAGGGGAUCGAAGACGAUCAGAUACCGUCGUAGUCUUAACCAUAAACUAUGCCGACUAGGGAUCGGAUGAUGUUAAUUUUUAAUGACUCAUUC
Molecule: unclassified non-coding RNA, 509 nt
Filed under: uncultured Entrophospora
Lineage: Eukaryota; Fungi; Glomeromycota; Glomeromycetes; Entrophosporales; Entrophosporaceae
Description: SSU rRNA
Rfam family: Eukaryotic small subunit ribosomal RNA
Source: RNAcentral